GGGGAAUCUUGCGCAAUGGGCGAAAGCCUGACGCAGCAACGCCGCGUGCGGGAAGAAGGUCUUCGGGUUGUAAACCGCUUUCAGUGGGGACGAAGGCGACCGGGUUAAUAGCCCGUGUCGUUGACGGUACCUACAGAAGAAGGUCCGGCUAACUACGUUCCAGCAGCCGCGGUAAUACGUAGGGACCGAGCGUUGUCCGGAAUCAUUGGGCGUAAAGAGCGUGUAGGCGGCUUGCUAAGUCUUGCGUGAAAUCUCGGGGCUCAACCCCGAGCGGUCGUGGGAAACUGGCAGGCUAGAGUGCGGGAGAGGAGAAUGGAAUUCCUGGUGUAGCGGUGAAAUGCGCAGAUAUCAGGAAGAACACCCGUGGCGAAGGCGGUUCUCUGGAACGCAACUGACGCUGAGACGCGAAAGCGUGGGGAGCAAAC
This 425-nucleotide ribosomal RNA is filed under the name uncultured bacterium. RNAcentral describes it as "bacterial SSU rRNA". It matches the Rfam family "Bacterial small subunit ribosomal RNA", at positions 356 to 773 of the family's 1533-position model. The record is from RNAcentral.